Molecule: small nucleolar RNA, 72 nt
Organism: Conger conger (European conger)
Lineage: Eukaryota; Metazoa; Chordata; Actinopteri; Anguilliformes; Congridae
Product: small nucleolar RNA SNORD18
Exons: 1
Source: RefSeq, a predicted model, not a curated record
CUGCUGUGAUGAGUUCCCACUUCAUGGUCCGUGUUUCUGAUAUCCAGUGAUUUCAGUGGAAGUUCUGAGCCU